AUAUAAUUCUAAAAAUCGUUCUCCAUAUUAAAGAAUAACAGUUCACACCACAACUAUAACGAUAAAGACAUAAGGAACGAUAUCGUUGGGAUCACUUUCAGAAUUAUUUUUUUCCAGCUGCUGUCCAACGAUAAAACACCACACUGACAACCAAUCAGAAUCCAUUCUAAUUUAAAGGUCUCGCGCAUUUAAAAUGGCAGAUUCCAGAGACGUUAACGUUAAUGGUCGAGGUAUAAAAAAUCCUCCACUGUUUCACAACAAGUCAAACUCCCUUUUCAAGGAUACGUUAAAAAAGAUGGAUAUAUGGAAAACAAUCGGUGGUAUCCUGGGAAUAAAUGCCUUUCAGCCGUUUAGCCUUUAUGGUGAACAGUGAAGCAGCUUCCAUAUACUGUAUACUGCCUAUCCAUUGCCAAGACCCCCAUCAUGCCUCCCUCCCUGAAACUGGGUGCUUUGUUUACGGCUCCAGGCUAACUUUGGUGUUGGAUCUCAGAGUUGCAGUGGUCCCCAGAGGUUGUUUGUGGCCAGCCAGUGCCCUGCUGUCUUGCAGGACACAUGUUGGCAAGGCCCAUGGAAAUUUCAACUCUAGUUCUCCAAGUGAGCCAGCAGGGGGAAAAACACCUAUUUUUUUUACAUGAACCGUGAUCCAGAACCAGACCUGAUGCUUGGAUUCAGACCGGCGUUCACUUGCAUGUCACAUGGAUCAGCAGCACCCUCCAGGCAUCAGGUGCUCUAAUGAAUUAAUCUUCCAUCUCAUCUAUAAACCAGUAUACUUCAGUGCCCACAGCGCCCUUCUCUGUCUAAUCCUCAGGCAGGUGGUCACCAAACUCACAGCAGCAGCCAGUCAAUCAUCGAGAAAAACCAGCCAAAGAUAAGCUACAAAACGAGAAAACAGACACACACAUGCUUAUACACAAGCACACUGUAAAAAUGAUCAAUGUACAGUAGCAAGGUUUAA
Pimephales promelas (fathead minnow) is the source of this 955-nucleotide non-coding RNA. NCBI's taxonomy places the organism in Eukaryota, Metazoa, Chordata, Actinopteri, Cypriniformes, Leuciscidae. The record is from RefSeq and is a predicted model, not a curated record.